This 61-nucleotide transfer RNA is filed under the name Peloridora minuta. Its description in RNAcentral is "tRNA-Thr". The record is from RNAcentral. Lineage: Eukaryota; Metazoa; Arthropoda; Insecta; Hemiptera; Peloridiidae.
GUCUAAAUAGUUUAAUCAAAACACUAAUCUUGUAAAUUAGAAAUACUUAAAGUCAUAGACU